RNAcentral lists this unclassified non-coding RNA (229 nucleotides) under plant metagenome. Its description in RNAcentral is "partial contains small subunit ribosomal RNA, internal transcribed spacer 1, and 5.8S ribosomal RNA". The record is from RNAcentral.
UCUCCGUAGGUGAACCUGCGGAGGGAUCAUUACAGAGUUCAUGCCCUACCGGGUAGAUCUCCCACCCUUUGUUUUUAUUACUUUGUUGCUUUGGCGGGCCGUUAGGCUCCGGCCCGACUACCGGCCCCGGCUGGUAAGCGCCCGCCAGAGGACCCAAAACCCUGAAUAUUAGUGUCGUCUGAGUACUAUAUAAUCGUUAAAACUUUCAACAACGGAUCUCUUGGUUCUG